CCUAUAUACGCACACAGGUGGGAGUUAGGUAUAGACUGCACUUGCGCACACAAGGUCUGCCAUCAAUCAAUAUAGCGCAUAUCAGCCCCGGGCGAAGCUACUCGAAUCUCGCUCACCGCCCCACCCGGCACUAAGAGCCGAGGAGCGGACCUUGUCGGACGGGAGCCCACUUCUGCAGUUCUAAGUAAACAAGUACACCUACUCAUCAUGUCGGUGGUGGCGCUGGGGAUGCGUCGCAAGGCAGGGAGCCUGUCUCCCACGAUGGACGUGGAGAUGUCGCAGAGGCCGGUCGACACCACGCUGUGGUGCGUCUGCGAGGUGUGCGGUCUCCGCAUCCACCCGCUGCUGCGCACCAACAACACCCCCAUUGAUGUCAAGAAGCCAUCGAACUAAAUGCUACGCGUUUAGACACAAUGUUCGCUAUAAUUUUCACUUCUCUCUUCGACCCCUAGAUUGUCCCAUGAAAUGAAUGAAUUACAUUAUAUCAACCUUCCUUAGAUGUCCUACUCUUUCAAUUAAACCCUCUUUAGUUC
Molecule: long non-coding RNA, 533 nt
Organism: Spodoptera litura
Lineage: Eukaryota; Metazoa; Arthropoda; Insecta; Lepidoptera; Noctuidae
Source: RefSeq, a predicted model, not a curated record